UUCCAUUUAUGAAAUGCCAUUAUAAUGCAAACAUCAGGAAAAUAUUUGAAUUUACAAUGGUUGACAAUGUGUUAUACAGCACAACUCUUAGAGGCAGUUCAAGGAGC
Molecule: small nucleolar RNA, 107 nt
Organism: Mauremys mutica (yellowpond turtle)
Lineage: Eukaryota; Metazoa; Chordata; Testudines; Geoemydidae
Source: RefSeq, a predicted model, not a curated record